This 465-nucleotide ribosomal RNA is filed under the name uncultured bacterium. RNAcentral's name for it is "partial 16S ribosomal RNA". It matches the Rfam family "Bacterial small subunit ribosomal RNA", at positions 28 to 507 of the family's 1533-position model. The record is from RNAcentral.
GACGAACGCUGGCGGCGUGCUUAACACAUGCAAGUCGAACGGAAAGGCCCCCUUGUGGGGUACUCGAGUGGCGAACGGGUGAGUAACACGUGAGUAACCUACCCUUGACUUUGGGAUAACUUCAGGAAACUGGGGCUAAUACCGGAUAGGAGCUCCUGCUGCAUGGUGGGGGUUGGAAAGUUUCGGCGGUUGGGGAUGGACUCGCGGCCUAUCAGCUUGUUGGUGGGGUAGUGGCUCACCAAGGCUUUGACGGGUAGCCGGCCUGAGAGGGUGACCGGCCACAUUGGGACUGAGAUACGGCCCAGACUCCUACGGGAGGCAGCAGUGGGGAAUAUUGCACAAUGGGCGGAAGCCUGAUGCAGCAACGCCGCGUGCGGGAUGACGGCCUUCGGGUUGUAAACCGCUUUCGCCUGUGACGAAGCGUGAGUGACGGUAAUGGGUAAAGAAGCACCGGCUAACUACGUG